Molecule: ribosomal RNA, 465 nt
Filed under: Vreelandella stevensii
Lineage: Bacteria; Pseudomonadati; Pseudomonadota; Gammaproteobacteria; Oceanospirillales; Halomonadaceae
Description: partial 16S ribosomal RNA
Rfam family: Bacterial small subunit ribosomal RNA
Source: RNAcentral
CCUACGGGAGGCAGCAGUGGGGAAUAUUGGACAAUGGGCGAAAGCCUGAUCCAGCCAUGCCGCGUGUGUGAAGAAGGCCUUCGGGUUGUAAAGCACUUUCAGUAGGGAAGAAAGCCUUGGGGCUAAUACCCUCGAGGAAGGACAUCACCCACAGAAGAAGCACCGGCUAACUCCGUGCCAGCAGCCGCGGUAAUACGGAGGGUGCGAGCGUUAAUCGGAAUUACUGGGCGUAAAGCGCGCGUAGGCGGUCUGAUAAGCCGGUUGUGAAAGCCCCGGGCUCAACCUGGGAACGGCAUCCGGAACUGUCAGGCUAGAGUGCAGGAGAGGAAGGUAGAAUUCCCGGUGUAGCGGUGAAAUGCGUAGAGAUCGGGAGGAAUACCAGUGGCGAAGGCGGCUUUCUGGACUGACACUGACGCUGAGGUGCGAAAGCGUGGGUAGCAAACAGGAUUAGAUACCCCGGUAGUC